Non-coding RNA from Hygrophoropsis aurantiaca, 104 nucleotides. The record is from the annotation of a GenBank genome assembly. Lineage: Eukaryota; Fungi; Basidiomycota; Agaricomycetes; Boletales; Hygrophoropsidaceae.
GCCGGGGUAGCUCAGCUGGGAGAGCAACAGACUGAAGUCUAGUUCUGUGGAUCGAACACUCGUGCGAAUUCUGGAGGUCCUGUGUUCAAAUCACAGUCCUGGCA